GAUGAACGCUGGCGGCGUGCCUAAUACAUGCAAGUCGAGCGAACAGACGAGGAGCUUGCUCCUUUGACGUUAGCGGCGGACGGGUGAGUAACACGUGGGUAACCUACCUAUAAGACUGGGAUAACUUCGGGAAACCGGAGCUGAUACCGGAUAAUAUUUCGAACCGCAUGGUUCGAUAGUGAAAGAUGGCUUUGCUAUCACUUAUAGAUGGACCUGCGCCGUAUUAGCUAGUUGGUAAGGUAACGGCUUACCAAGGCAACGAUACGUAGCCGACCUGAGAGGGUGAUCGGCCACACUGGAACUGAGACACGGUCCAGACUCCUACGGGAGGCAGCAGUAGGGAAUCUUCCGCAAUGGGCGAAAGCCUGACGGAGCAACGCCGCGUGAGUGAUGAAGGUCUUCGGAUCGUAAAACUCUGUUAUUAGGGAAGAACAAACGUGUAAGUAACUGUGCACGUCUUGACGGUACCUAAUCAGAAAGCCACGGCUAACUACGUG
RNAcentral lists this ribosomal RNA (497 nucleotides) under uncultured bacterium. RNAcentral's name for it is "partial 16S ribosomal RNA". It matches the Rfam family "Bacterial small subunit ribosomal RNA", at positions 28 to 507 of the family's 1533-position model. The record is from RNAcentral.